GACGAACGCUGGCGGCGUGGAUUAGGCAUGCAAGUCGAACGGUAUCAUCCUUUCGGGGGUGAGAGAGUGGCGAACUGGUGAGUAACACGUAGGUUAUCUACCCUCAAGACGGGGACAACCCAGGGAAACUUGGGCUAAUACCGGAUGUGAGCAACUUUUUAGUUGUUUGAAAGGUGGCGUAAGCUGUCGCUUGGGGAUGAGCCUGCGUCCUAUUAGUUAGUUGGUGAGGUAACGGCUCACCUAGGCAAUGAUAGGUAGGCGGCCUUAACGGGUGGUUGCCCACACUGGGAUUGAGAUACGGCCCAGACUCCUACGGGAGGCAGCAGUCGAGAAUAGUCUACAAUGGUCGGAAGACUGAUAGUGCGACGCCGCGUGAACGAUGAAUCCCUUCGGGGUGUAAAGUUCUUUUAUAUGUGAGCAGUGCUUCUUAUAUUAACAGUAUGGGGAGAGAGAUAUUAGCAUAUGAAUAAGCAACGGCUAACUCCGUGCCAGCAGCCGCGGUAAGCUU
Molecule: ribosomal RNA, 508 nt
Filed under: uncultured bacterium
Lineage: Bacteria
Description: bacterial SSU rRNA
Rfam family: Bacterial small subunit ribosomal RNA
Source: RNAcentral